UACAGAGGGGGCAAGCGUUGUUCGGAAUUACUGGGCGUAAAGGGCGCGUAGGCGGCCUUCUAAGUCAGACGUGAAAUCCCUCGGCUCAACCGGGGAACUGCGUCUGAGACUGAAAGGCUUGAAUCCGGGAGAGGAAUGCGGAAUUCCAGGUGUAGCGGUGAAAUGCGUAGAUAUCAAGUGGAACACCAGUGGCGAAGGCGAGUCCCUGGACAACUCCUGACACUGAGGCACGAAAGCUAGGGGAGCAAACAGG
This 253-nucleotide ribosomal RNA is filed under the name uncultured bacterium. Its description in RNAcentral is "partial 16S ribosomal RNA". It matches the Rfam family "Bacterial small subunit ribosomal RNA", at positions 524 to 776 of the family's 1533-position model. The record is from RNAcentral.